CAAAUCCUCCUGGACUGGGACAGGAAAUAAAGCUUGAAAUGUGACCAUCGGUGCCUGUGAUGAGACUGAAAAGACAAUGAGAGCUAACUGCCCCUAGAGAGGAGAGCAGAGUAUGUGUGUCUGUCUGGCAAAAUGUCCAGCAGCCUUCUAUGUUGGGAGAGGGGAUUACUGGAAAGACAGAAUAAAACUCUCAGAGACAAAGGUUACCUCUACUGGGCAUAUACACAAAAGUCCCCUACAUAUAGCAAGGACACAUGUUCCACUAUAUUGAUAAAUCCCUUAUUUGUAACAGCCAAGCUGGAAACAAACCAAAAGUCCCUCAGUAGCAGAAUGGAUGCAGAAAAUGUGGUCCAUUUACACAGUAGAAUACUAGUCAGUUAUUAAAUACAAUGACUUCAUAAAAUCUCAGGCAAAUGGAUGGAGCUAGAAAAUAUCAUGCUGAGUGAGGUAACCCAGUCACAAAAAAACCCACACACUUUGUACUCACUGAAUAGAGGAUAUUAUCCAAAAAGCUCACAAUAGCCAUGAUAAAACCCACAGACCAUAUGGAGCUAAGGAGGAAGGAAGACCAGGGUGUGGAUGCUUCAGUUCUGCAUUGAGGAGGUUACAGGAUUAUUGCAGGAGGUGGAGGAAUAAGGGGACCAGGGAGGGAGACAGGAGGAGGAGGAAAUAAGGGGGCAAUA
RNAcentral lists this long non-coding RNA (683 nucleotides) under Rattus norvegicus (Norway rat). Its description in RNAcentral is "long non-coding RNA NONRATT025651". Lineage: Eukaryota; Metazoa; Chordata; Mammalia; Rodentia; Muridae. The record is from RNAcentral.